GGAAAGAAAUUUAGAACUUUUUAGUAUUCCUUUCCAUUUACAGCAAUUUGCAGCCCGGAUGGCUGCAAAAGGCUUACCUGAGCCACGGAUGGCGAAUGUAAGCCACUUGCGUACGAUGACAAUUUUCAGACAUAAGGAAUACUUAGAAGUUCUUAAUU
RNAcentral lists this non-coding RNA (158 nucleotides) under pig gut metagenome. The record is from RNAcentral.